UAGCGGAGGAAAAGAACCAACAGGGAUUGCCCCAGUAACGGCGAGUGAAGCGGCAACAGCUCAAAUUUGAAAUCUGGCCCCCCCGGCCCGAGUUGUAAUUUGCAGAGGAUGCUUUUGGUGAGGCACCCACCGAGUCCCCUGGAAUGGGGCGCCAUAGAGGGUGAGAGCCCCGUAUGGUAGGACGCCGAACCUCUGUAAAGCUCCUUCGACGAGUCGAGUAGUUUGGGAAUGCUGCUCUAAAUGGGAGGUAAAUUUCUUCUAAAGCUAAAUACCGGCCAGAGACCGAUAGCGCACAAGUAGAGUGAUCGAAAGAUGAAAAGCACUUUGAAAAGAGGGUUAAAAAGUACGUGAAAUUGUUGAAAGGGAAGCGCUUGUGACCAGACUUGCGCCGGGCGGAUCAUCCAGCGUUCUCGCUGGUGCACUCCGCCCGGUUCAGGCCAGCAUCGGUUUUCGCCGGGGGACAAAGGCUUCGGGAACGUGGCUCCUCUCGGGGAGUGUUAUAGCCCGUUGCGUAAUACCCCGGCGGGGACCGACGACCGCGCUUCGGCAAGGAUGCUGGCGUAAUGGUCAUCAGCGACCCGUCUUGAAACACGGACCGAGGAGUCAAGCAUUAGUGCGAGUGUUUGGGUGUAAAACCCGCACGCGUAAUGAAAGUGAACGUAGGUGAGAGCUUCGGCGCAUCAUCGACCGAUCCUGAUGUUUUCGGAAGGAUUUGAGUAGGAGCAUUAACGCUUGGACCCGAAAGAUGGUGAACUAUACUUGAAUAGGGUGAAGCCAGAGGAAACUCUGGUGGAGGCUCGCAGCGGUUCUGACGUGCAAAUCGAUCGUCAAAUUUGAGUAUAGGGGCGAAAGACUAAUCGAACCAUCUAGUAGCUGGUUUCAGCC
RNAcentral lists this ribosomal RNA (885 nucleotides) under Pyricularia pennisetigena. RNAcentral describes it as "partial 28S ribosomal RNA". It matches the Rfam family "Eukaryotic large subunit ribosomal RNA", at positions 48 to 962 of the family's 3401-position model. Lineage: Eukaryota; Fungi; Ascomycota; Sordariomycetes; Magnaporthales; Pyriculariaceae. The record is from RNAcentral.